GAUUGCAUCUUUUUUAUCAACCUCUCUGCAAUCGCGGCUG
Molecule: non-coding RNA, 40 nt
Filed under: unclassified sequences
Description: S4-Bacteroidia ribosomal protein leader
Rfam family: S4-Bacteroidia ribosomal protein leader
Source: RNAcentral